UAUGAGAGUUUGAUCCUGGCUCAGGACGAACGCUGGCGGCGUGCCUAAUACAUGCAAGUCGAACGCUUCUUUUUCCACCGGAGCUUGCUCCACCGGAAAAAGAGGAGUGGCGAACGGGUGAGUAACACGUGGGUAACCUGCCCAUCAGAAGGGGAUAACACUUGGAAACAGGUGCUAAUACCGUAUAACAAUCAAAACCGCAUGGUUUUGAUUUGAAAGGCGCUUUCGGGUGUCGCUGAUGGAUGGACCCGCGGUGCAUUAGCUAGUUGGUGAGGUAACGGCUCACCAAGGCCACGAUGCAUAGCCGACCUGAGAGGGUGAUCGGCCACAUUGGGACUGAGACACGGCCCAAACUCCUACGGGAGGCAGCAGUAGGGAAUCUUCGGCAAUGGACGAAAGUCUGACCGAGCAACGCCGCGUGAGUGAAGAAGGUUUUCGGAUCGUAAAACUCUGUUGUUAGAGAAGAACAAGGAUGAGAGUAACUGUUCAUCCCUUGACGGUAUCUAACCAGAAAGCCACGGCUAACUACGUGCCAGCAGCCGCGGUAAUACGUAGGUGGCAAGCGUUGUCCGGAUUUAUUGGGCGUAAAGCGAGCGCAGGCGGUUCAACUACAUAAUUACGCAUAAAUAGAACUGUUUCUUUCAAAAAUUCAUUUCCGUCGAGACUUGAGUGCAGAAGAGGAGAGUGGAAUUCCAUGUGUAGCGGUGAAAUGCGUAGAUAUAUGGAGGAACACCAGUGGCGAAGGCGGCUCUCUGGUCUGUAACUGACGCUGAGGCUCGAAAGCGUGGGGAGCAAACAGGAUUAGAUACCCUGGUAGUCCACGCCGUAAACGAUGAGUGCUAAGUGUUGGAGGGUUUCCGCCCUUCAGUGCUGCAGCUAACGCAUUAAGCACU
Molecule: ribosomal RNA, 893 nt
Filed under: Enterococcus faecium
Lineage: Bacteria; Bacillati; Bacillota; Bacilli; Lactobacillales; Enterococcaceae
Description: bacterial SSU rRNA
Rfam family: Bacterial small subunit ribosomal RNA
Source: RNAcentral